GGGGCUAUAGCUCAGCUGGUAGAGCGCGUGAAUCGCACUCACGAGGUCCGGGGUUCGAGUCCCCGUAGCUCCA
Molecule: transfer RNA, 73 nt
Filed under: Bacteroidetes bacterium QS_8_68_28
Lineage: Bacteria; Pseudomonadati; Bacteroidota
Description: tRNA-Ala
Rfam family: tRNA
About the family: Transfer RNA (tRNA) molecules are approximately 80 nucleotides in length. Their secondary structure includes four short double-helical elements and three loops (D, anti-codon, and T loops). Further hydrogen bonds mediate the characteristic L-shaped molecular structure. tRNAs have two regions of fundamental functional importance: the anti-codon, which is responsible for specific mRNA codon recognition, and the 3' end, to which the tRNAs corresponding amino acid is attached (by aminoacyl-tRNA synthetases). tRNAs cope with the degeneracy of the genetic code in two manners: having more than one tRNA (with a specific anti-codon) for a particular amino acid; and 'wobble' base-pairing, i.e. permitting non-standard base-pairing at the 3rd anti-codon position.
Source: RNAcentral